This 519-nucleotide ribosomal RNA is filed under the name Salmonella enterica. RNAcentral describes it as "partial 23S ribosomal RNA". It matches the Rfam family "Bacterial large subunit ribosomal RNA", at positions 774 to 1290 of the family's 2925-position model. The record is from RNAcentral. Lineage: Bacteria; Pseudomonadati; Pseudomonadota; Gammaproteobacteria; Enterobacterales; Enterobacteriaceae. RNAcentral also lists the same sequence under 1 other name.
CCGAACCGACUAAUGUUGAAAAAUUAGCGGAUGACCUGUGGCUGGGGGUGAAAGGCCAAUCAAACCGGGAGAUAGCUGGUUCUCCCCGAAAGCUAUUUAGGUAGCGCCUCGUGAAUUCAUCUCCGGGGGUAGAGCACUGUUUCGGCUAGGGGGCCAUCCCGGCUUACCAACCCGAUGCAAACUGCGAAUACCGGAGAAUGUUAUCACGGGAGACACACGGCGGGUGCUAACGUCCGUCGUGAAGAGGGAAACAACCCAGACCGCCAGCUAAGGUCCCAAAGUCAUGGUUAAGUGGGAAACGAUGUGGGAAGGCCCAGACAGCCAGGAUGUUGGCUUAGAAGCAGCCAUCAUUUAAAGAAAGCGUAAUAGCUCACUGGUCGAGUCGGCCUGCGCGGAAGAUGUAACGGGGCUAAACCAUGCACCGAAGCUGCGGCAGCGACACUGUGUGUUGUUGGGUAGGGGAGCGUUCUGUAAGCCUGUGAAGGUGUGUCGUGAGGCAUGCUGGAGGUAUCAGAAGUG